GGGACGAUGGCGCAGUUGGGAGCGCGUCUGACUGAAGUUUCAACUUCAUCACAAACACCUACUUCAGGUGAUCAGGAGGUCGUCGGUUCGAUCCCGGCUCAUCCCA
This 106-nucleotide transfer RNA is filed under the name Aspergillus coremiiformis. It matches the Rfam family "tRNA". Rfam says of the family: Transfer RNA (tRNA) molecules are approximately 80 nucleotides in length. Their secondary structure includes four short double-helical elements and three loops (D, anti-codon, and T loops). The record is from Rfam by way of RNAcentral. Lineage: Eukaryota; Fungi; Ascomycota; Eurotiomycetes; Eurotiales; Aspergillaceae.